Non-coding RNA from Mycena leptocephala, 81 nucleotides. Lineage: Eukaryota; Fungi; Basidiomycota; Agaricomycetes; Agaricales; Mycenaceae. The record is from the annotation of a GenBank genome assembly.
GACGGAAUAGCUCAGUUGGAUAACACUCUCACUGUGUCUCAUGUAAUCAGAGUGUCCCCGGUUCAAUCCCGGGGUCUGUCA